ACACUGCUGAGGCGUCCCACAAUAGAACGAAACGGCCUUCCAGUAC
Schistosoma mansoni is the source of this 46-nucleotide non-coding RNA. The record is from Rfam. Lineage: Eukaryota; Metazoa; Platyhelminthes; Trematoda; Strigeidida; Schistosomatidae.